RNAcentral lists this transfer RNA (86 nucleotides) under Oligoflexales bacterium. Its description in RNAcentral is "tRNA-Leu". It matches the Rfam family "tRNA". From Rfam's summary of the family: Transfer RNA (tRNA) molecules are approximately 80 nucleotides in length. Their secondary structure includes four short double-helical elements and three loops (D, anti-codon, and T loops). Further hydrogen bonds mediate the characteristic L-shaped molecular structure. tRNAs have two regions of fundamental functional importance: the anti-codon, which is responsible for specific mRNA codon recognition, and the 3' end, to which the tRNAs corresponding amino acid is attached (by aminoacyl-tRNA synthetases). tRNAs cope with the degeneracy of the genetic code in two manners: having more than one tRNA (with a specific anti-codon) for a particular amino acid; and 'wobble' base-pairing, i.e. permitting non-standard base-pairing at the 3rd anti-codon position. Lineage: Bacteria; Pseudomonadati; Bdellovibrionota; Oligoflexia; Oligoflexales. The record is from RNAcentral.
GCUCGAGUGGUGAAAUCGGUAGACACACAAGACUUAAAAUCUUGGGAGGGUUACCCCUCGUGCCAGUUCAAGUCUGGCCUCGAGCA